RNAcentral lists this ribosomal RNA (253 nucleotides) under uncultured bacterium. RNAcentral describes it as "partial 16S ribosomal RNA". It matches the Rfam family "Bacterial small subunit ribosomal RNA", at positions 524 to 776 of the family's 1533-position model. The record is from RNAcentral.
GACGUAGGGUGCGAGCGUUGUCCGGAAUUACUGGGCGUAAAGAGCUCGUAGGUGGUUUGUCGCGUUGUUCGUGAAAACUCACAGCUCAACUGUGGGCGUGCGGGCGAUACGGGCAGACUAGAGUACUGCAGGGGAGACUGGAAUUCCUGGUGUAGCGGUGGAAUGCGCAGAUAUCAGGAGGAACACCGGUGGCGAAGGCGGGUCUCUGGGCAGUAACUGACGCUGAGGAGCGAAAGCGUGGGGAGCGAACAGG